Molecule: microRNA precursor, 93 nt
Filed under: Canis lupus familiaris (dog)
Lineage: Eukaryota; Metazoa; Chordata; Mammalia; Carnivora; Canidae
Also listed under: 1 other name
Description: mir-8799 microRNA precursor family
Rfam family: mir-8799 microRNA precursor family
Source: Rfam by way of RNAcentral
AGGGGGAGCACAGGAUCCUGGGCUGUGUCCCCUGGUGCCCUGGGAUCCGGGGCCUGUGCUGCUGGAAUCACGCUCCCAGGGCCACAGCCCCUG